CUGGAACCCUGAGAUUGCCUCUUGCUUGUCUGGAUGGAGGGCAGGGGGCAGAGAAGGGUAAGCAAGUGUGUGUAGAAGUAAGCCUGCUGUUCAAAGGUAAAGAUUAUCUUCUCCACCUGUUUUAGCCUCCGGCCCUACCCAUUGCUGCCAUGUGGCCCCAGGAACGUUGAGCAGAAGGGAAUGCGGUCCUCAGGCUGGCAAAUCUCCACUCCAGGGCAACCACCAAAUAAGGCCCUUGACUGUGGGGCUGCUGUUCUGGCUAGUAGGUACACAUACCAUUGGACAUUUCACGAAUGAAAAUAGGGACAGUCUUUUACGUGUUGAGUGCCCCUUCUCUCUCAACCAGGGUGACUUCUUGAGGGCUUUUCCCCUGCUGAAGAUAUAUACCAUCUACUGGCGGCUGCCUGCUUUGUGGUAACCAUGGGAUAGAAAGAUGGCUCAAACAUUACAACUGAGAAUUGGAUGUAAUUUCUAGAACUCUGAAUACUACAGUGAUUAAAGGCCCAGGCUUGGCAGUGCCAUCUUUAUUUCAAGGAGCAAAUAAAGAUAUUUUGUUUAAGACAUAAAUAGUCCAUUUCCUGGUAGCAUCCCAGAUAAGAGAUUGGAUUCUCAUGGGGAAGUGAUCGUUGUUUUACUACGCAAAAUUGGUAUGGUAGUGUUUUGAAAGUUGCCCUUGUAGACAAUCUAACACAACAUUGCAGAGGAGUCAGAUGUGACAUUUCCAGAGGUAAGUUUCACAAUAACUGGCCUCUCUUCAUGAAUUUCAUAAAUUCCUUACCAGAAGGACCUAGACCACCUUCUGUUCACUUUUGUUUUUGGAGAGGC
Molecule: long non-coding RNA, 825 nt
Filed under: Podarcis lilfordi (Lilford's wall lizard)
Lineage: Eukaryota; Metazoa; Chordata; Lepidosauria; Squamata; Lacertidae
Source: RNAcentral